GAUGAACGCUGGCGGCGUGCUUAACACAUGCAAGUCGAACGAGAAAUGUAGACGGAAACCUUCGGGCGGAAGCCUUCAUUUCGAGUGGCGGACGGGUGAGUAACGCGUGGGUAACCUGCCUCAUACAGGGGGAUAACAGUUGGAAACGACUGUUAAUACCGCAUAAGACCACAGCAUCGCAUGAUGCGGGGGUAAAAACUCCGGUGGUAUGAGAUGGACCCGCGUUCGAUUGGCCAGUUGGCGGGGUAACGGCCCACCAAAGCGACGAUCGAUAGCCGAUCUGAGAGGAUGACCGGCCACAUUGGGACUGAGACACGGCCCAAACUCCUACGGGAGGCAGCAGUGGGGAAUAUUGCACAAUGGGGGAAACCCUGAUGCAGCGACGCCGCGUGAGUGAAGAAGUACUUCGGUAUGUAAAGCUCUAUCAGCAGGGAAGAAAAUGACGGUACCUGAGUAAGAAGCCCCGGCUAACUACGUG
This 478-nucleotide ribosomal RNA is filed under the name uncultured bacterium. Its description in RNAcentral is "partial 16S ribosomal RNA". It matches the Rfam family "Bacterial small subunit ribosomal RNA", at positions 28 to 507 of the family's 1533-position model. The record is from RNAcentral.